Molecule: ribosomal RNA, 235 nt
Filed under: uncultured bacterium
Lineage: Bacteria
Description: partial 16S ribosomal RNA
Rfam family: Bacterial small subunit ribosomal RNA
Source: RNAcentral
CGGACGGGUGAGUAACGCGUGGGUAACCCGCCUCACACAGGGGGAUAACAGUUAGAAAUGACUGCUAAUACCGCAUAACCCGAUAGGAUCGCAUGAUCCAGACGGAAAAGAUUUAUCGGUGUGAGAUGGACCCGCGUCUGAUUAGCUAGUUGGUGAGGUAACGGCCCACCAAGGCGACGAUCGGUAGCCGGACUGAGAGGUUGAACGGCCACAUUGGGACUGAGACACGGCCCAG